CCUACGGGAGGCAGCAGUGAGGAAUUUUCCGCAAUGGGCGAAAGCCUGACGGAGCAAUAUCGCGUGAAGGAAGAAGGCCUGUGGGUUGUAAACUUCUUUUUUAGGGAGGAAAUUUGACGUGUACCUAAAGAAUAAGCAUCGGCUAACUCUGUGCCAGCAGCCGCGGUAAUACAGAGGAUGCAAGUGUUAUCCGGAAUUACUGGGCGUAAAGCGUCUGUAGGUAGUUUAAUAAGUCAAAUAUUAAAUCUUGAAGCUCAACUUUAAAAUCGUAUUUGAAACUAUUAAACUUGAAUAUUUUAAAGGUAAAGGGAAUUUCCAAUGGAGUGGUGAAAUGCGUAGAUAUUGGAAGGAACAUCAAUGGCGAAAGCACUUUACUAGGUAAUUAUUGACACUGAGAGACGAAAGCUAAGGGAGCAAAUGGGAUUAGAUACCCCAGUAGUCUUAGCUGUAAACGAUGAAUACUAAAUAUUGUAUUGAAUCGAAAUAAUACAGUAUUAAAGCUAACGCGUUAAGUAUUCCGCCUGGGAAGUACGCUCGCAAGAGUGAAACUCAAAGGAAUUGACGGCNGAGANGCAGACGACACAGGAGAG
This 590-nucleotide ribosomal RNA is filed under the name uncultured bacterium. RNAcentral describes it as "bacterial SSU rRNA". It matches the Rfam family "Bacterial small subunit ribosomal RNA", at positions 338 to 942 of the family's 1533-position model. The record is from RNAcentral.